UUUCCGUAGGUGAACCUGCGGAAGGAUCAUUAAAGAACGCCCCGUUUUUUGAAAUGGGUAAUUCUAAACCGUGUAUACAUACCUUUGUUGCUUUGGCAGGCCGCCCCUCAGGGCGUCGGCUCCGGCUGACUGCGCCUGCCAGAGGACCCAAACUCUUUUGUUUAGUGAUGUCUGAGUACCAUAUAGUAGUUAAAACUUUCAACAACGGAUCUCUUGGUUCUG
Molecule: unclassified non-coding RNA, 222 nt
Filed under: plant metagenome
Description: partial contains small subunit ribosomal RNA, internal transcribed spacer 1, and 5.8S ribosomal RNA
Source: RNAcentral